Molecule: ribosomal RNA, 253 nt
Filed under: uncultured bacterium
Lineage: Bacteria
Description: partial 16S ribosomal RNA
Rfam family: Bacterial small subunit ribosomal RNA
Source: RNAcentral
UACGGAGGGUGCGAGCGUUGCUCGGAAUUAUUGGGCGUAAAGCGUACGCAGGCGGCUCGGCAAGUCGAGUGUGAAAUCCCGGGGCUCAACUCCGGAACUGCAUUCGAUACUGCCGGGCUUGAGUGCGGGAGAGGGAAGCGGAAUUCCUGGUGUAGAGGUGAAAUUCGUAGAUAUCAGGAGGAACACCGGUGGCGAAAGCGGCUUCCUGGCCCGACACUGACGCUCAUGUACGAAAGCGUGGGGAGCAAACAAG